GACGAACGCUGGCGGCGCGCCUAACACAUGCAAGUCGAACGGAGUUAUUUCAGCAGAAGCUUUCGGGUGGACGCAGGGAUAACUUAGUGGCGAACGGGUGAGUAACACGUGAGGAACCUGCCCUGGAGUGGGGGACAACAGUUGGAAACGACUGCUAAUACCGCAUAAGCGCACAGCAUCGCAUGAUGCAGUGUGAAAAACUCCGGUGGUAUGAGAUGGACCCGCGUCUGAUUAGCUAGUUGGUGAGGUAAAGGCCCACCAAGGCGACGAUCAGUAGCCGACCUGAGAGGGUGAUCGGCCACAUUGGGACUGAGACACGGCCCAA
This 325-nucleotide ribosomal RNA is filed under the name uncultured bacterium. RNAcentral describes it as "bacterial SSU rRNA". It matches the Rfam family "Bacterial small subunit ribosomal RNA", at positions 28 to 334 of the family's 1533-position model. The record is from RNAcentral.